RNAcentral lists this ribosomal RNA (429 nucleotides) under Chloroflexota bacterium. RNAcentral's name for it is "Chloroflexi bacterium partial 16S ribosomal RNA". It matches the Rfam family "Bacterial small subunit ribosomal RNA", at positions 355 to 776 of the family's 1533-position model. Lineage: Bacteria; Bacillati; Chloroflexota. The record is from RNAcentral.
UGGGGAAUAUUGCACAAUGGGCGCAAGCCUGAUGCAGCCAUGCCGCGUGUAUGAAGAAGGCCUUCGGGUUGUAAAGUACUUUCAGCGGGGAGGAAGGGAGUAAAGUUAAUACCUUUGCUCAUUGACGUUACCCGCAGGAGAAGCACCGGCUAACUCCGUGCCAGCAGCCGCGGUAAUACGGAGGGUGCAAGCGUUAAUCGGAAUUACUGGGCGUAAAGCGCACGCAGGCGGUUUGUUAAGUCAGAUGUGAAAUCCUCGGGCUCAACCUGGGAACUGCAUCUGAUACUGGCAAGCUUGAGUCUCGUAGAGGGGGGUAGAAUUCCAGGUGUAGCGGUGAAAUGCGUAGAGAUCUGGAGGAAUACCGGUGGCGAAGGCGGCCCCCUGGACGAAGACUGACGCUCAGGUGCGAAAGCGUGGGGAGCAAACAGG